AUUAAGGUGGCAGAGUGGUAAUUGCAUAAAACUUAAGCCUUUACAAUCAGAGGUUCAAUCCCUCUCCUUAAUA
Molecule: transfer RNA, 73 nt
Filed under: Strigocuscus celebensis (little Celebes cuscus)
Lineage: Eukaryota; Metazoa; Chordata; Mammalia; Diprotodontia; Phalangeridae
Description: tRNA-Leu
Rfam family: tRNA
About the family: Transfer RNA (tRNA) molecules are approximately 80 nucleotides in length. Their secondary structure includes four short double-helical elements and three loops (D, anti-codon, and T loops).
Source: RNAcentral